Molecule: small RNA, 27 nt
Filed under: Bombyx mori (domestic silkworm)
Lineage: Eukaryota; Metazoa; Arthropoda; Insecta; Lepidoptera; Bombycidae
Description: ovarian small RNA-16859
Source: RNAcentral
GCGCAAGGUCGAGGUCGCGGAAUGCCU